RNAcentral lists this long non-coding RNA (299 nucleotides) under Elaeis guineensis (African oil palm). RNAcentral's name for it is "long non-coding RNA (EGUI_LNC026140)". Lineage: Eukaryota; Viridiplantae; Streptophyta; Magnoliopsida; Arecales; Arecaceae. The record is from RNAcentral.
AUAGCCACCACUAUAACCAGAAUGGCCAUGGGGGCCUCCACAGAGUCCAGAGAGGAGGCAAAUCCAUCAGAGCCGCCUCAAGACCCAGGAACCAGCAAGACGGUGAUCUCCCAGUCCGCUAUCAGGGUAUGACUCAACCCUUGGCCUCCAAUCUCCCCAACAUUCUGAAGCAUACACCGCAUGAGAUCUUACCAUUAAGAGGCGAUUUCGAGCGAUCGAUGAGCGGAUGGAUGCUAUCUGCAACACCUCCCCAGCAUAGCCUUAUGAUGGGUUUAGCAGCGAACCGCCAUUCACCCCAA